Long non-coding RNA from Polypterus senegalus (gray bichir), 602 nucleotides. RefSeq lists it as uncharacterized. The record is from RefSeq and is a predicted model, not a curated record. Lineage: Eukaryota; Metazoa; Chordata; Cladistia; Polypteriformes; Polypteridae. The transcript is spliced from 3 exons.
UUGGCUGAACAGAUGCCAGUGUACCCGAAUUCUGAGACACAACUGGAUGUUCUUUUCUUCUGCUUUUAAGAUUCCCAAUUUGGGAUGAAAUGCAGUUCACAUUAGAUUUGCUAUUUCUACAGUUUCAGUGAAGUGUAAGUUUCCAGCUAUGUUAUGGGGCAGCACAUAAACAAGAAGGAUAGAGGGAUGUGUGCCAUGUUGAAGUAGUGGCUGGCCAUCCUGCCCAGCACUUCUAGAAUCCUCCAUCUAAACAUCUGGUCUGAUAUUCUGUGCCUUUGCCAAGUGAUCACGAGUUUAUUGCAGUGGUACCCCCUGCAUCUCCACCGUCUUUUACAUGAACUCAAACUGCCUGUGAUGCCGGAGAGGACAAAAGUUCACAAGACAUCCUGAAGUGGAAUUGUGAUUGGAGUGAGACGGCCACAAUUAUGUAUGCUGGGAAGUGCAGAGGGGGCUGCGCGAGCUUUGGUUUGGAACCCCCAGAGAUUUAUUAUCUCCAACAUCCUUGAAGGCUGCAAGUUUUUCUUUCUCCCUGGCUAUUUUACCAUGCAGUGUAUUUAUUACAAAGGGCAAGGACCCAUCCAUUUGCUUCUCAUUUACUUUAA